Pseudoliparis swirei is the source of this 1048-nucleotide long non-coding RNA. RefSeq lists it as uncharacterized. The transcript is spliced from 2 exons. Lineage: Eukaryota; Metazoa; Chordata; Actinopteri; Perciformes; Liparidae. The record is from RefSeq and is a predicted model, not a curated record.
AUCUUCUGGGUUGAACGUGGUUAUUUUUUUCUUUUUCUCCCUCCCUCCCUCUCUCUCUCUCCCUCCACCCCCCGCUUUCCUCCUCUUUUCUUUCCCUCACUCUCCUCUCUCUUUCUACAUCUCUUCUCUUUUUGAGUGAAACCAACUAUGUCGGGCUGACGCGGAGCAAAGAACAGGCGACAGAGUGUGUGUGUGCGUGUGUGUGUGUUUUUCUCCAUUUCUUCAUGUGUGUGUGUGUGAGAAACUUGGAGUCCGUCCACGCCAGCGGCAAUCAUCUCCUCUCCCACUUGUGUGCGCGCACCGGAGGACUCCACUUGGUGAGUUCACUUCCUUCCCUUCAGUGUUUAGAGUCGUUUCCUUUCCUCCUCUCCUCGUUUCCUCCGAACAACAAAGAGGAGCCCCGAGGUUCAGAGGCGGGCGACGCCGCUCGGCCGGACGCUUUUCCCGGGGAGGGAAGAAGUGGAUCCCGUCCUGGGUGAAUUAUUGUCACGCGUAAUUUACUGCCACGGUGCGUGCAUGUAAACGAACAGUCCGGCUCUCUCUCUCUCUCUCUCUCACCCCCCCCCCCCCCUCUCUCUCUCUCACACACACACUCACUUGAACUAGCUCCAGCUCUCCAUUCAGCCAGCGGCUCUGGAGUGGCACCUCUCCCCUGCUUCCCCUCCCCGACGCGGGCCGCACAUUCACCGUGAAACCGGAUUACAGUCGGUGUGUGACCUAUAGGGGACCUCGUGCUUCAUGAAUGAAUCCAUUUAAAUAAGAGCAACAACACAAAAAACAACAUUUACGUGCAUGCAUAAUUAUUUCUGGAAUUUUUUUUUUUUUACGAUUGUUAUUUCCAGAUUAAAAGUGUAAAAUGUGUUUUUCAAUUAAUUUAAGAGAAGAAUUGUUUACGAUGUUUUAAGGUGAAUUGAUAUUUAUGAGAUUAAUCGACUAAAAAAUAUUAGUAAUUAUUUAAAUGGUGAAUUGUGGAUAUUUUGUGCUCCUCAAUGUUUUUGUAUUUUUCUUUUUCUCCCAAAAAAUAAAAACCUGAAAGCUUUUCGCAGAA